This 235-nucleotide ribosomal RNA is filed under the name uncultured bacterium. Its description in RNAcentral is "partial 16S ribosomal RNA". It matches the Rfam family "Bacterial small subunit ribosomal RNA", at positions 524 to 755 of the family's 1533-position model. The record is from RNAcentral.
UACGUAGGGUGCAAGCGUUGUCCGGAAUUAUUGGGCGUAAAGAGCUCGUAGGCGGUCUGUCGCGUCUGCUGUGAAAACUCGGGGCUUAACCCCGGGCCUGCAGUGGGUACGGGCAGACUAGAGUGCGGUAGGGGAGACUGGAAUUCCUGGUGUAGCGGUGAAAUGCGCAGAUAUCAGGAGGAACACCGGUGGCGAAGGCGGGGUCUCUGGGGCCGUAACUGACGCUGGAGGAGCG